CCCCUAGAUGUUCUGGGCCGCACGCGCGCUACACUGAACAGUUCAACAAGUCUUAACCUUGGCCGAUAGGUCUGGGUAAUCUUUGAACGCUGUUCGUGAUUGGGAUAGACCUUUGCAAUUAUGGGUCUUCAACGAGGAAUUCCUAGUAAACGCAAGUCAGCAGCUUGCAUUGAUUACGUCCCUGCCCUUUGUACACACCGCCCGUCGCACCUACCGAUUGAAUGGUCCGGUGAAAUCUCGGGACGGCGGCUUGGUCGCUUGCGUCCGACUGCUGAAACUUGAUUAAACCAUAUCAUUUAGAGGAAGGUGAAGUCGUAACA
This 320-nucleotide ribosomal RNA is filed under the name uncultured eukaryote. RNAcentral's name for it is "partial 18S ribosomal RNA". It matches the Rfam family "Eukaryotic small subunit ribosomal RNA", at positions 1470 to 1796 of the family's 1831-position model. The record is from RNAcentral.